UGUCAAAGUUAAAGUCAUUUUGGCUGGGGAGAUUUCUUGUUUUCAAUAAGGCCGAGCUUUUGUUGCGACCAGCGAGAAAUCUAGUUAGCUCUUCUCAUUUAAAAAAAAUUAGCGCUAGUUCUGUUUCUACUCCUGAAACAAAUGUUUUACGCUAUUAUGAGGCUCAACAAAACUUUCGAAAAGAAAAUACUACUAUCUGCACGCUUUAUGUGCUCAGUGCAUUUGUAUUUUUCAUUGGAGGCACUUACGCUUUUGUUCCAGUUUACAAGCUAGUUUGUCAACAAACGGGGAUUGUUGGAAGCUUGAAACGCAAGGAGGUUGAUUUUUCUAAUGUCACUCCCGUACUUGAAAGACCUUUGAAAGUUCGUUUCCUAAGCGAUAUUAGCAAAAAUAUGAACUGGAAAUUUUAUCCCGAGCAACAGUAUGUAAAUGUUUAUCCAGGAGAAACUGCUUUGGCUUUUUACAAGGCAAAAAGCAAUUCUGACAGAGCAAUCACAGGUUUAAGCACAUACAACGUCAUCCCAUUUAAUGCAGCGCAAUACUUUACCAAAAUUCAGUAGUGUUUUUGCUUUGAGGAGCAACGCCUGUUACCUAAUGAAGAAGUAGACAUGCCGGUUCUUUUUUCUAUUGAUCCAGAGUACGUCAACGAUCCGGAAUUAGCUCAUGUGAACGAGAUAACUCUUUCUUAUACGUUUUUUGAGUCUAAAAACUUUAACUAUGAAGAGUGGCUAAAAAAGCAACCGGA
Zophobas morio is the source of this 745-nucleotide long non-coding RNA. RefSeq lists it as uncharacterized. NCBI's taxonomy places the organism in Eukaryota, Metazoa, Arthropoda, Insecta, Coleoptera, Tenebrionidae. The record is from RefSeq and is a predicted model, not a curated record. The transcript has 4 exons.